CAGUAAUGACCAGACACAUCACACCCGCCUUCUAGAAGCCCUCCCUCACAAACCGGAUCAACUGCUAUGAUAAAGGCUCUGUGAUGCAAGCAGAGGAGAUGGUCAGCAGGCAGUCGGGCAGGGAGAGACCCAUGCUGGAGAGGGAUCUGGAAUUUCCAGUGUGUAGGUGGAUUAGGCAGUGGAACAGUCCUUGUGAUCCUGAAGUUAGCAAUGCCCCAGCCUCCUUCUUUCAACACCAGCUCUCACUUCUUGUCUUAGAUUGCUUUGCACCUUCCUCUCCCUUAGUUGAUGUCAGGACCUGAAUAUAUUUGAUAGUGAUUUGAACCACUGAUGCUACAAAUGAAAGAGAUUGAUGCUGGGCCCUGGGACCAGGACAUGUGACAGACCCAGAGUCCUUCAGGGCUGAUGGGCAUGUGCUGGGACUGACACAGGCUAGCAUCUCCCGAGAAGAUGGAAGGACAAGCAACUCCAAUGGGGAUGACAUUGAUGACUCUUCCACCUCUCCUGUUUGGUUUCCUUCUUUUCAUGAUUUGCCAUGAGAAGAACCCACCCAGGUAAUCACUGCUUGCUCAGAUCCCAGCAAAUUCUAGAUCCCAGAACUAGUGCUCUUAGAGCCAAGGCCAGCCGAUCCAAGUCUGGACCACUGCUCAGAUGAGCCAAGCCUGAAUUUGGGAGUGGUCGCGUUACAGAGCAUUACCCUGGCAAUAACUGACUGAUGCAGAGAUGUAAAUAGACAUCACUGGUGGAGCCCCCAGGAAA
Molecule: non-coding RNA, 759 nt
Filed under: Pongo abelii (Sumatran orangutan)
Lineage: Eukaryota; Metazoa; Chordata; Mammalia; Primates; Hominidae
Source: RNAcentral